This 251-nucleotide ribosomal RNA is filed under the name uncultured prokaryote. RNAcentral describes it as "partial 16S ribosomal RNA". It matches the Rfam family "Bacterial small subunit ribosomal RNA", at positions 524 to 774 of the family's 1533-position model. The record is from RNAcentral.
UACGUAGGGCGCAAGCGUUGUCCGGAAUUAUUGGGCGUAAAGAGCUCGUAGGCGGUCUGUCGCGUCUGGUGUGAAAACUCGAGGCUCAACCUCGAGCUUGCAUCGGGUACGGGCAGACUAGAGUGCGGUAGGGGAGACUGGAAUUCCUGGUGUAGCGGUGGAAUGCGCAGAUAUCAGGAGGAACACCGAUGGCGAAGGCAGGUCUCUGGGCCGCAACUGACGCUGAGGAGCGAAAGCAUGGGGAGCGAACA